GAGGGUAUAGCUCAGUGAUAGAGCGUGUGCUUAACAUGCACGAGGUUCUGGGUUCAAUCUCCAGUGCCUCCA
This 72-nucleotide transfer RNA is filed under the name Camelus bactrianus (Bactrian camel). It matches the Rfam family "tRNA". From Rfam's summary of the family: Transfer RNA (tRNA) molecules are approximately 80 nucleotides in length. Their secondary structure includes four short double-helical elements and three loops (D, anti-codon, and T loops). The record is from Rfam by way of RNAcentral. RNAcentral also lists the same sequence under 3 other names. Lineage: Eukaryota; Metazoa; Chordata; Mammalia; Artiodactyla; Camelidae.